GAGGGUAUAGCUCAGUGGUAGAGUGCAUGCUUAGCAUGUAUGAGGGUCCUGGGUUCAAUCCCCCAGUAUCUCCA
This 74-nucleotide transfer RNA is filed under the name Camelus bactrianus (Bactrian camel). It matches the Rfam family "tRNA". Rfam says of the family: Transfer RNA (tRNA) molecules are approximately 80 nucleotides in length. Their secondary structure includes four short double-helical elements and three loops (D, anti-codon, and T loops). RNAcentral also lists the same sequence under 2 other names. Lineage: Eukaryota; Metazoa; Chordata; Mammalia; Artiodactyla; Camelidae. The record is from Rfam by way of RNAcentral.